RNAcentral lists this non-coding RNA (21 nucleotides) under Caenorhabditis elegans. The record is from RNAcentral. Lineage: Eukaryota; Metazoa; Nematoda; Chromadorea; Rhabditida; Rhabditidae.
UAGAACAACGUUUUUUUACGU